GGUGGCUCAGCAGUAGAGUGCUUGCCUUGAAUGCAUGAGGCCCUGGGUUCAAUUCCUCAGCACCA
RNAcentral lists this transfer RNA (65 nucleotides) under Dipodomys ordii (Ord's kangaroo rat). It matches the Rfam family "tRNA". Rfam says of the family: Transfer RNA (tRNA) molecules are approximately 80 nucleotides in length. Their secondary structure includes four short double-helical elements and three loops (D, anti-codon, and T loops). Further hydrogen bonds mediate the characteristic L-shaped molecular structure. tRNAs have two regions of fundamental functional importance: the anti-codon, which is responsible for specific mRNA codon recognition, and the 3' end, to which the tRNAs corresponding amino acid is attached (by aminoacyl-tRNA synthetases). tRNAs cope with the degeneracy of the genetic code in two manners: having more than one tRNA (with a specific anti-codon) for a particular amino acid; and 'wobble' base-pairing, i.e. permitting non-standard base-pairing at the 3rd anti-codon position. The record is from Rfam by way of RNAcentral. Lineage: Eukaryota; Metazoa; Chordata; Mammalia; Rodentia; Heteromyidae.